UACGUAGGGUGCGAGCGUUAAUCGGAAUUACUGGGCGUAAAGUGUGCGCAGGCCGCCGAGCAAGUCGAGUGUGAAAGCCCCGAGCUUAACUUGGGAACUGCGCUCGAAACUACUUGGCUAGAGUGUGGCAGAGGGAGGUGGAAUUCCACGUGUAGCGGUGAAAUGCGUAGAGAUGUGGAGGAACACCUGUGGCGAAGGCGGCCCCCUGGUUGGAUACUGACGCUGAGACGCGAAAGCGUGGGGAGCAAACAGG
Molecule: ribosomal RNA, 253 nt
Filed under: uncultured prokaryote
Description: partial 16S ribosomal RNA
Rfam family: Bacterial small subunit ribosomal RNA
Source: RNAcentral